UACGGAGGGGGCUAGCGUUGUUCGGAAUUACUGGGCGUAAAGCGCACGUAGGCGGCUUUGUAAGCUAGAGGUGAAAGCCCGGGGCUCAACCCCGGAAUUGCCUUUAAGACUGCAUCGCUUGAACGUCGGAGAGGUGAGUGGAAUUCCGAGCGUAGAGGUGAAAUUCGUAGAUAUUCGGAAGAACACCAGUGGCGAAGGCGGCUCACUGGACGACUGUUGACGCUGAGGUACGAAAGCGUGGGGAGCAAACAGG
RNAcentral lists this ribosomal RNA (253 nucleotides) under uncultured bacterium. RNAcentral's name for it is "partial 16S ribosomal RNA". It matches the Rfam family "Bacterial small subunit ribosomal RNA", at positions 524 to 776 of the family's 1533-position model. The record is from RNAcentral.